RNAcentral lists this ribosomal RNA (496 nucleotides) under uncultured bacterium. RNAcentral describes it as "partial 16S ribosomal RNA". It matches the Rfam family "Bacterial small subunit ribosomal RNA", at positions 29 to 507 of the family's 1533-position model. The record is from RNAcentral.
AUGAACGCUGGCGGCGUGCCUAAUACAUGCAAGUCGCGCGAACAGACGAGGAGCUUGCUCCUCUGACGUUAGCGGCGGACGGGUGAGUAACACGUGGAUAACCUACCUAUAAGACUGGGAUAACUUCGGGAAACCGGAGCUAAUACCGGAUAAUAUAUUGAACCGCAUGGUUCAAUAGUGAAAGACGGUUUUGCCGUCACUUAUAGAUGGAUCCGCGCCGCAUUAGCUAGUUGGUAAGGUAACGGCUUACCAAGGCGACGAUGCGUAGCCGACCUGAGAGGGUGAUCGGCCACACUGGAACUGAGACACGGUCCAGACUCCUACGGGAGGCAGCAGUAGGGAAUCUUCCGCAAUGGGCGAAAGCCUGACGGAGCAACGCCGCGUGAGUGAUGAAGGUCUUCGGAUCGUAAAACUCUGUUAUUAGGGAAGAACAAAUGUGUAAGUAACUAUGCACGUCUUGACGGUACCUAAUCAGAAAGCCACGGCUAACUACGUG